AGCAGCCGCGGUAAUUCCAGCUCCAAUAGCGUAUAUUAAAGCUGUUGCAGUUGAAAAGCUCGUAGUUGAAUUUCGGGAUUGACACAUCGGUCGUGCCUUAAGGGGUAUGAACUGGUGUAGUCAAUUUCUCACCUUCUGGAGAACCGCGAUGCCCUUAAUUGGGUGCCGCGGGGAACCAGGACCUUUACUUUGAAAAAAUUAGAGUGUUUAAAGCAGGCAUUUUGCUUGAAUACAUUAGCACGGAAUAAUAAAAUAGGACGGCAUGAUUCUAUUUUGUUGGUUUCUAGGAUCACCGUAAUGAUUAAUAGGGAUAGUUGGGGGCAUUAGUAUUCAAUUGUCAGAGGUGAAAUUCUUGGAUUUAUUGAAGACUAACUACUGCGAAAGCAUUUGCCAAGGAUGCUUUCAUUAAUCAAGAACGAAAGUUAGGGGAUCGAAGACGAUCAGAUACCGUCGUAGUCUUAACCAUAAACUAUGCCGACUAGGAAUCAGACGAUGUUAAUUUUUUAAUGACUCGUUUGGC
RNAcentral lists this unclassified non-coding RNA (520 nucleotides) under uncultured Entrophospora. Its description in RNAcentral is "SSU rRNA". It matches the Rfam family "Eukaryotic small subunit ribosomal RNA", at positions 569 to 1084 of the family's 1831-position model. The record is from RNAcentral. Lineage: Eukaryota; Fungi; Glomeromycota; Glomeromycetes; Entrophosporales; Entrophosporaceae.